GACGAACGCUGGCGGCGUGCUUAACACAUGCAAGUCGAACGGAAAGGCCCUGCUUUUGUGGGGUGCUCGAGUGGCGAACGGGUGAGUAACACGUGAGUAACCUGCCCUUGACUUUGGGAUAACUUCAGGAAACUGGGGCUAAUACCGGAUAGGAGCUCCUGCUGCAUGGUGGGGGUUGGAAAGUUUCGGCGGUUGGGGAUGGACUCGCGGCUUAUCAGCUUGUUGGUGGGGUAGUGGCUUACCAAGGCUUUGACGGGUAGCCGGCCUGAGAGGGUGACCGGACACGGGGGGAGGCGGAGGCCGGCCAGAGCGCUGGGGGGGGGAGCAGGGGGAAGUGUCGCACGGCGGGAGGGCGCGCGAGGCGACGGCGCGGGGGGGAGGGUGGCGGCCGGCGGGCCGGAAGCCGUUGUGCCGGGGGACGAGGGGGCAGGGAGGGGAAGGGGUAAAGCAGCACCGGCUAACGACGUGCCGUGAGCCGCGGUAACAGUGGGAAGCCCACACGGUUGAAC
This 509-nucleotide ribosomal RNA is filed under the name uncultured bacterium. RNAcentral's name for it is "partial 16S ribosomal RNA". The stretch from base 12 to 371 matches the Rfam family "Bacterial small subunit ribosomal RNA", at positions 39 to 400 of the family's 1533-position model. The record is from RNAcentral.